This 460-nucleotide ribosomal RNA is filed under the name uncultured bacterium. RNAcentral's name for it is "partial 16S ribosomal RNA". It matches the Rfam family "Bacterial small subunit ribosomal RNA", at positions 338 to 795 of the family's 1533-position model. The record is from RNAcentral.
CCUACGGGAGACAGCAGUGAGGAAUAUUGGUCAAUGGACGAGAGUCUGAACCAGCCAAGUAGCGUGAAGGAUGACUGCCCUAUGGGUUGUAAACUUCUUUUAUAUGGGAAUAAACUGUUCCACGUGUGGGAUUUUGUAUGUACCAUAUGAAUAAGGAUCGGCUAACUCCGUGCCAGCAGCCGCGGUAAUACGGAGGAUCCGAGCGUUAUCCGGAUUUAUUGGGUUUAAAGGGAGCGUAGGUGGAUUGUUAAGUCAGUUGUGAAAGUUUGCGGCUCAACCGUAAAAUUGCAGUUGAAACUGGCAGUCUGGAGUACAGUAGAGGUGGGCGGAAUUCGUGGUGUAGCGGUGAAAUGCUUAGAUAUCACGAAGAACUCCGAUUGCGAAGGCAGCUCACUGGACUGCAACUGACACUGAGGCUCGAAAGUGUGGGUAUCAAACAGGAUUAGAUACCCCUGUAGUC